AAUCAACGCUGGCGGCGUGCCUCAGACAUGCAAGUCGAACGAUUAAGACUCCCUUCGGGGAGUGCAUAAAGUGGCGCACGGGUGAGUAACACGUAAGUAAUCUACCCUCGGGUGGGGAAUAACGUCCGGAAACGGACGCUAAUACCGCAUAAUGCAGCGGCACCGCAAGGUGACAGUUGUUAAAGAUUUAUUGCCUGGGGAGGAGCUUGCGGCAGAUUAGCUUGUUGGAAGGUAACGGCUUACCAAGGCUACGAUCUGUAUCCGGUCUAAGAGGACGGUCGGACACACUGACACUGAAUAACGGGUCAGACUCCUACGGGAGGCAGCAGUCGGGAAUUUUGGGCAAUGGGGGAAACCCUGACCCAGCAACGCCGCGUGAAGGAUGAAGUAUUUCGGUAUGUAAACUUCGAAAGAAUAGGAAGAAUUAAUGACGGUACUAUUUAUAAGGUCCGGCUAACUACGUGCCAGCAGCCGCCGUAAC
This 481-nucleotide ribosomal RNA is filed under the name uncultured bacterium. RNAcentral's name for it is "bacterial SSU rRNA". It matches the Rfam family "Bacterial small subunit ribosomal RNA", at positions 32 to 524 of the family's 1533-position model. The record is from RNAcentral.